GGACAAAGUGCAGCCGCCUUGCUGAGCUCUUCUGCCACCCCGGAAGUCGUUACCUUUAUUUUCCUGCAGACUUUCUAUGAUGAAAACCACCCCGUUCCAUAGAAGUGAGCCAUAUUCCAAUGGCUAAGUCUUACUGUCACUAAAGUAAAAUUCUCUGCAACUGCAAAGAAACUAGGACUCUGAUGUCACUCAAAGGGGACAAUGACCACAAAAGAAGGAUCGUGAUUUUGCUCCUAAGCAGAAAUAUUCUCGUUCCAUGUCGAAAUGGGAGAUGCUAUCUAUAUGACUGCAAUUCAAGAGGUGGAGCUCCAGAAGCACCAGAAAGCUUGGAAUUUUUUAUACCAGCAUUACCACAGUAACAGGCCAGUUACGUAUGGCACAUGGACACAGAACUCCGUCUUUGCCUCUGGUCACAGCUAAGCCCACAG
Long non-coding RNA from Fukomys damarensis (Damara mole-rat), 428 nucleotides. RefSeq lists it as uncharacterized. NCBI's taxonomy places the organism in Eukaryota, Metazoa, Chordata, Mammalia, Rodentia, Bathyergidae. The record is from RefSeq and is a predicted model, not a curated record. The transcript is spliced from 3 exons.